RNAcentral lists this ribosomal RNA (247 nucleotides) under uncultured Acinetobacter sp. RNAcentral's name for it is "partial 16S ribosomal RNA". It matches the Rfam family "Bacterial small subunit ribosomal RNA", at positions 527 to 773 of the family's 1533-position model. The record is from RNAcentral. Lineage: Bacteria; Pseudomonadati; Pseudomonadota; Gammaproteobacteria; Moraxellales; Moraxellaceae.
AGAGGGUGCGAGCGUUAAUCGGAUUUACUGGGCGUAAAGCGUGCGUAGGCGGCUUAUUAAGUCGGAUGUGAAAUCCCCGAGCUUAACUUGGGAAUUGCAUUCGAUACUGGUGAGCUAGAGUAUGGGAGAGGAUGGUAGAAUUCCAGGUGUAGCGGUGAAAUGCGUAGAGAUCUGGAGGAAUACCGAUGGCGAAGGCAGCCAUCUGGCCUAAUACUGACGCUGAGGUACGAAAGCAUGGGGAGCAAAC